CUGACCCAAACCUUUCUAGCACUUAUUAGUAAGUGCAAUCCUUACCAACAUCCAUUAGUAGGUGUGCCUUCCUGUAUCCUUCAGUGAAUACAAAAUAAACCUGACAUCCCUUAGUGAAUACCACCCAAUAAAAAUUGUUUAACCAAAAAUCCAAAAAUUACAAAACCAAAAUAAUCAAAAGAAAGUAAUGUUCAACAAUCAUUGGGGUGCCUCCCAGCAAGCGCUCUUUUAACGUCACUAGCUUGACCCAAUAAAGCUCAUGUCUCAUCCUUCAUGUUGGUGUCUUCUUCGCCUUCAUCACACCAACACAUCAAUUGCUUCACAUCAAUUGCUUUCGGUCCACCUUCUUGACUUUCCUAGAAUAUGAAGUUUCAAUCUCUAUCACUCCAUUCUCCUUAUAGCCUCUCACCACCC
Molecule: long non-coding RNA, 414 nt
Filed under: Vigna radiata
Lineage: Eukaryota; Viridiplantae; Streptophyta; Magnoliopsida; Fabales; Fabaceae
Description: long non-coding RNA (VRAD_LNC006763)
Source: RNAcentral